Molecule: ribosomal RNA, 468 nt
Filed under: uncultured bacterium
Lineage: Bacteria
Description: partial 16S ribosomal RNA
Rfam family: Bacterial small subunit ribosomal RNA
Source: RNAcentral
GAUGAACGCUGGCGGCGUGCCUAACACAUGCAAGUCGAACGGAAAGGCCCGGCUCUUGUGGGGUUCUCGUGUGGCGAACGGGGGAGUAUCACGCGAGUAACCCGUCCCUGUCUUUCGGAUAACACCAGGAAACUGGGGCUAAUAUACGAUAGGAGCUCCUGCUGCACGGUGGGGGUUGGAAAGUUUCGCCGGUUGUGGCUGGUCUCGCGGCUUAUGCGCUUGUUGGUGGAGUAGUGGCUUACCAAGGGUACGACGGAUAGCCGGCCUGGGAGGGUUAACGGCGACAAUAGGACUAAGAGACGGACCAGACGGCUACGGGAGGCAGCGGGGGGGAGUAUUGCACAAUAGGCGGAAGCCUGAUGCGGCAGCGCCGCGUGCGGGAUGACGGCCUUCGGGUUGUAAACAGCUUUCGCCGGAGACGAGGCGUGAGUGACGGUAAUGGAUAAGGAAGCACCGGCUAACUACGUG